AUGAACAUCUAUGAAUAAUGAUUCGCUCGAUAUGGAUUGACGCAUUGCUAUCGGUGCUGGCAUCUUACAAAUGAACUUUUGCAUGAGAUGAGCAUGCCACCAUACAUUCAACACAGAUUUUGGGUUACUAAAGCCGCAAACAAACUCAGUUCAAACAAAGACACUACUGAAGCUGGGCACUACAAGUAAGUGAGCCAAUCAGGCGGUGGAUACAUAAUAAGCUAGUCUCUUGCAAGGCAUAAAAGCACUGCACGAGUAGCAGAAACGAUAUGAAAUCUUCAACAGGAAAAACAAGGUGGAUGCGACGGACAUCCAGUGUAUGCUUCUUGUUCUUCAGUAGCUCAACGACGCAUCGUAUUCUCUCGGGCUGCAAAUUGUUGUCGAAUGCAAACCGCUUUUUCCCUUUCAAAAGCUCUUGCAUUUGUUCUCCUUAACAUGACAUCAGUCACGCUUGCGAAUCCUUGCUAUUGGUAUAUUUCUCUGGAGAGGCCCUGGUUAUAGAGGGAAAGGGUGUUUACUGUUUAGAUACGACAACUCGAAAGAAAGUAGUAUUAAACUGAAACAAACUGAUGAAUAGAGGCUAUGUGUCAGCAAGACUCUCUUUUCUGUAUUCAGCUGAAAUACUAAAUGGGAGUGUGGAUUUUAACUCUCCAUGAUACAAAGAUUUUCAUGAAUACUUGUAUGUAAUAGAAUGAUUGAAACGCUCAAAGUCAACCUUUAUUUGCAGAACUACACUCACAUGUUUCUGAAGUUAUCUGACAAUGAAACAUGUAAACGCAGUUCAAGAACAGAAAUAUUACUGGGCAUAAACACCAGCAUGGAAUCUGAAUUCAUAUAUGAGAUGACAACUAGUAUUCGGUAUUCACCUAUCAGUUUGCACGUUAUGCAAGAAAGCAGAAAUUAAAUGUAGAUUUAAUAAGUAUGAUUUAUUAGUACAACCAAGACGUUAUAAGCUACUACCUAUCAUUAUUAAAUCAGAGUGAUAGACUUGUAAAUGCAUGAGAGGCAAGAUAGGAGCCAUCAUUACACAAACGGGCACUGAGAAAGCGACACCAAGUAUCACGUCAUAUUGAGACAAAAGAACCAAGCGCUGAGGUGCAAAUUUUAGUGAAAUUAGGGAAUCAGUAGGGCGUUGCAUUCCAACCCCACUUCUCUCUUCCAAAGGAAAAUCAGAGUCUCUAGUGCCUUUGGUCUUCUAGGGCACAUCUAGAUGUGCCCUGGUUAUUGGUGCACAUAUAAGUCACUCAAUCAAGCAGAAGAAGGAAAAGAAAAAGGAAAAAGAAAAUGUCCACACGAAUCUCCGUGUAAGAUCAGUGACUUAGGACUUAAAUGUGCAAUACUUAUGGCAUAUCUAGAUGUGCUUUAGCAAAACUGUUUUAAAUUUAGUGAAACUCGCAUCGUCUUGCCAUCUAUUCGGACAUAGCAGUGGACUGCAUUCCAUAACAGUUUUCAGUUUCCCAUUAGGCUAGACAUAUGUUUGGGAAUCGAAUGUAGUGUAUGUCUCAGCUUUUCAUGCCUCAGUCGAUGUAAUAGGCUGGUUCGGCUAGAGUGUUUCCCACGUGGGAAGACAGCGUCAGUUACAGUUGCAAGUUCAAGCAUAAUUACAGAUUGGGUCAUUACGAAUAUGAUGAUGGCAAAACAACAUUUUUUUUCGUGGCCUAAUUUAGCAGACAUAGUUAUUCCACCUAAAAUGGCACCAGAAUGAUAACUUAGUGAAGAUAAAAAUGGGGAAAAUACAUGUCAAAUCCAGCUUAACUGAAGGGAAAGUAGGCAAUACAUGUACAAGAAAAUAAAAGACUCAAGAGAAAGUAGGCAAUAC
Molecule: long non-coding RNA, 1819 nt
Filed under: Triticum aestivum (bread wheat)
Lineage: Eukaryota; Viridiplantae; Streptophyta; Magnoliopsida; Poales; Poaceae
Description: long non-coding RNA (TAES_LNC017384)
Source: RNAcentral